UGGUGGAGUGAUUUGUCUGGUUAAUUCCGUUAACGAACGAGACCUCGACCUGCUAAAUAGUUCCAGCUAUCUUGAUAGUUAGGUGACUUCUUAGAGGGACUAUUGUGUGUGUAGCCGAUGGAAGUUCGAGGCAAUAACA
Molecule: ribosomal RNA, 139 nt
Filed under: uncultured eukaryote
Lineage: Eukaryota
Description: partial 18S ribosomal RNA
Rfam family: Eukaryotic small subunit ribosomal RNA
Source: RNAcentral